AUGGCGGCGGCCGCAGUGAGUUGAGGAAUCAGGGCAAAGCUGGGCCUGCGUGAGAUUCGCAUCCACUUAUGUCAGCGCUUGCCCGGCAGCCAGGGUGUCAGGGACUUCAUUGAGAAACGCUAUGUGGAGCUAAAGAAGGUGAAUCCUGACCUACCCAUCCUAAUCCGCAAAUGCUCCGAUGUGCAGCCCAAGCUCUGGGCCCGCUACGCAUUUGGCCAAGAGAAGAAUGUCCCUUUGAACAACUUCAGUGCUGAUCAGGUAACCAGAGCCCUGGAGAACGUGCUAAGUGGUAAAGCCUGAAGCCUCCACUGAGGAAUAAGAGCAACAGCCCCAGAGCCUGGCCUCUGCUGGACUUAGUAUAAUGUGAAAAAAAUGUGUUCUCCUAUUCCUCAUAAAGCUUGUGCUGUAAAAUA
RNA transcript from Macaca mulatta (Rhesus monkey), 413 nucleotides. It is a transcript of the gene named NADH dehydrogenase [ubiquinone] 1 alpha subcomplex subunit 2 pseudogene, with no coding region annotated. The record is from RefSeq and is a predicted model, not a curated record. NCBI's taxonomy places the organism in Eukaryota, Metazoa, Chordata, Mammalia, Primates, Cercopithecidae.